GUUGAACGCUGGCGGCAGGCCUAACACAUGCAAGUCGAGCGGUAGAGAGAAGCUUUCUUCUCUUGAGAGCUGCGGACGGGUGAGUAAUGCCUAGGAAUCUGCCUGGUAGUUGGGGAUAACGUUCGUAAACGGACGCUGAUACCGCAUACGUCCUACUGUAGAAAGCCGGGGACCUUCGGGCCUUGCGCUAUCAGCUGAGCCUAGGUCGGAUUAGCUAGUUGGUGAGGUAAUGGCUCACCAAGGCGACGAUCCGUAACUGGUCUGAGAGGAUGAUCAGUCACACUGGAACUGAGACACGGUCCAGACUCCUACGGGAGGCAGCAGUGGGGAAUCUUGGACAAUGGGCGAAAGCCUGAUCCAGCAACGCCGCGUGUGUGAAGAAGGUCUUCGGAUCGUAAAACACUUUAAGUUGGGAGGAAGGGAAGUAAAAUAAUCCGUUGAUGUUUUGACGUUACCGAAACAAAAAGCAACGGCUAACUACGUG
Molecule: ribosomal RNA, 484 nt
Filed under: uncultured bacterium
Lineage: Bacteria
Description: partial 16S ribosomal RNA
Rfam family: Bacterial small subunit ribosomal RNA
Source: RNAcentral